CGCUGGCGGCGUGCCUAACACAUGCAAGUCGAGCGAGGAGAUCCUUCGGGAUGAUCCUAGCGGCGGACGGGUGAGUAACACGUGGGCAACCUGCCUCAUAGAGAGGAAUAGCCUUCCGAAAGGGAGAUUAAUACCUCAUAACAUUGCAGUUUCGCAUGGAACAGCAAUUAAAGGAGUAAUCCGCUAUGAGAUGGGCCCGCGGCGCAUUAGCUAGUUGGUGAGGUAACGGCUCACCAAGGCGACGAUGCGUAGCCGACCUGAGAGGGUGAUCGGCCACAUUGGGACUGAGACACGGCCCAGACUCCUACGGGAGGCAGCAGUGGGGAAUAUUGCACAAUGGGGGAAACCCUGAUGCAAGCAACGCCGCGUGAGUGAUGACGGCCUUCGGGUUGUAAAGCUCUGUCUUCAGGGACGAUAAUGACGGUACCUGAGGAGGAAGCCACGGCUAACUACGUGCCAGCAGCCGC
RNAcentral lists this ribosomal RNA (467 nucleotides) under uncultured bacterium. RNAcentral's name for it is "bacterial SSU rRNA". It matches the Rfam family "Bacterial small subunit ribosomal RNA", at positions 34 to 518 of the family's 1533-position model. The record is from RNAcentral.